UUACGGCCUUAUCACUUUUGAAACAGCGGUUCGCAUACGAUCACCGAAGUUAAGCAACGUCGAACCUGGUCAGUAUCAAGAUGGAUGACUACUUGGGAAUAUCAGACGUUGUAAG
Molecule: non-coding RNA, 115 nt
Organism: Acanthosepion pharaonis
Lineage: Eukaryota; Metazoa; Mollusca; Cephalopoda; Sepiida; Sepiidae
Source: the annotation of a GenBank genome assembly